AUUGAACGCUGGCGGCGUACUUAACACAUGCAAGUCGAGCGAUAACAGGUGUAGCAAUACAUGCUGACGAGCGGCGAACGGGUGAGGAAUGCUUCGGAAUCUGCCUCGUAGUGGGGAAUAACUAGCCGAAAGGUUAGCUAAUGCCGCAUACGUACCACGGUUGAAAGCGGGGGAUCGCAAGACCUCGCGCUAUGAGAUGAGCCGAAGUCCGAUUAGCUAGUUGGUGAGGUAACGGCUCACCAAGGCGACAAUCGGUAGCUGGUCUGAGAGGACGACCAGCCACACUGGGACUGAGACACGGCCCAGACUCCUACGGGAGGCAGCAGUGGGGAAUAUUGGACAAUGGGGGAAACCCUGAUCCAGCGACGCCGCGUGUGUGAAGAAGGCCUGCGGGUUGUAAAGCACUUUUAGUGGGGAUGAAAAGCUCGGGGCCAAUACCUCCGGGUCUUGACCUAACCCAAAGAAAAAGCACCGGCUAACUCUGUGCCAGCAGCCGCGGUAA
This 502-nucleotide ribosomal RNA is filed under the name uncultured bacterium. RNAcentral describes it as "partial 16S ribosomal RNA". It matches the Rfam family "Bacterial small subunit ribosomal RNA", at positions 30 to 523 of the family's 1533-position model. The record is from RNAcentral.